This is a long non-coding RNA of Anthonomus grandis grandis, 298 nucleotides long. RefSeq lists it as uncharacterized. NCBI's taxonomy places the organism in Eukaryota, Metazoa, Arthropoda, Insecta, Coleoptera, Curculionidae. The transcript has 3 exons. The record is from RefSeq and is a predicted model, not a curated record.
AGAUUUAGAUGAACCUUUUCCACGUUCAUCCGAUGUGACCUCUGUUAUAACUUUUUCUCCAACGCUAGAAGACACAUCUUCGCAUUCAACGAAAGAAUUAUGUCAAGAUGAAACUUUACCACAAUCAUCCGAUGUAGCUUCUGUAAGUACUUUGUUUUCUGCACUAGAAAGCACAUCUUCGCAUUCAACCAAAGAAUUAUGCCAAGAUUUAGUUAAAACCUUCCCACAUUCAUCUGAUGUGGCUUCUGUUAGUAGAUCUUGCCUCGUUACUGCGUAAUCCCACCAAACUCAAACGGAC